UAUGCCCACUAUACCACUGAAUGCACUCAAUCCGCUCUGAUCUUGGAAGCUAAGCAGGGCCAGACCUGGUUAGUACUUGGAUGGGAGAAUGCCCAGGAAUACCUGGUGCUGUUGGCAUUC
This 120-nucleotide ribosomal RNA is filed under the name Procavia capensis (Cape rock hyrax). The record is from RNAcentral. Lineage: Eukaryota; Metazoa; Chordata; Mammalia; Hyracoidea; Procaviidae.